This 159-nucleotide ribosomal RNA is filed under the name Viola occulta. RNAcentral describes it as "5.8S ribosomal RNA". It matches the Rfam family "5.8S ribosomal RNA". Rfam says of the family: 5.8S ribosomal RNA (5.8S rRNA) is a component of the large subunit of the eukaryotic ribosome. It is transcribed by RNA polymerase I as part of the 45S precursor that also contains 18S and 28S rRNA. The record is from RNAcentral. Lineage: Eukaryota; Viridiplantae; Streptophyta; Magnoliopsida; Malpighiales; Violaceae.
GACUCUCGGCAACGGAUAUCUCGGCUCUCGCAUCGAUGAAGAACGUAGCGAAAUGCGAUACUUGGUGUGAAUUGCAGAAUCCCGUGAAUCAUCGAGUCUUUGAACGCAARUUGCGCCCGAAGCCUUUCGGCCGAGGGCACGUCUGCCUGGGUGUCACGC